RNAcentral lists this transfer RNA (92 nucleotides) under Amycolatopsis sp. YIM 10. Its description in RNAcentral is "tRNA-Gly". Lineage: Bacteria; Bacillati; Actinomycetota; Actinomycetes; Pseudonocardiales; Pseudonocardiaceae. The record is from RNAcentral.
CCGGCUCGUCGGCCGGGCCGACCACGGCGGCACCGGCGCCGUCGGCGAAGAUGAUCGCGUUGGCGCGGUCGGUCGGGUCGACCGAGUCGGUC